AUUGUAAGUCAUACUUUAAUUGCAGUCAAGCACACAAAUUAUAGUGUAAUACUCUAGGGAAAUACAGUGUAAAAGUCUGAUGAAUUAAAUUGUAAGUCAUACUGAAAUUACAGUCCUCAAGCACACAAAUUACAGUGUAAUACUCUAGGGAUAAGACAGUAAAAGUCUGAUGAAUUACAUUGUAAGUCAUACUGAAAUUACAGUCCUCAAACAUACAAAUUUACAAUGUAAGUCUAGGGAAAUACAAUGUAAAACUCUGGUGAAUUGCAUUGUAAGUCAUACAAAAAUUGCAUUGUAACCAUACAAAUUACAGUGUAAAACUCUAGGGAAAUACACUAUAAUUACAUGAGUGGUUGGGCUAAAUUUACAAAGUAAACUACACAGUGAUCUGGGAGUAUACACAGUGACUCCAGGGCAUAAAAACACUGUAAAUCUGGGCGAAUACACUGUAAAUUACAUGAGUAAUUGAGCUAAAUUACUGUGAACAUAAAUAGGACAAAUUACACAGUGAUUCCAGGCAUAAUAUACUGAAAAAUCUGCAUAUACACAGUACAUGAGUAAUUGGGCUAAAUUCCUGUGAACAUACUAGGACAAAUUACACAGUGAUUCCGGGCAUAAAUACAUUGAAAAAUCUUGCAUAUCUGGGAAUAUACACUGGAAUUAGGGGGGAAAUUACACAAUACUGAUAGCACAAAUUACACUGUAAUCGAACAAUAAAUAACACAGUAUUUGGGAGAAUGACACAGUAAUUACAGAUAUGGGAGAAUUACACUGUAAAGCAUGUUAAUUACACUGUAAAAAUGGCAGAAUUAUACUGCAAAAGGUGGGACAGUGAGGUUCUGCAAACCUAUUACACAGUAGUUACACUGUAAUUCUGGGGGUAUGAUCCACUGUACUUUUGAGCUACAUUACAUGUCUCGGGGGUAAAAUUACACAGUAAUAGAAGCAUCAAAUUCAGAGAGCUUCCUGGAACACAUUCAGACAUGCCUCAUCUACCAGGGGAAAAUCAUAAGCAGCCACCUGCAACUACAAAAAAGCAGGCCAGAUCAUCCCCAACUGUCACCUAACGGCAAGGGAACAGACACCCCAAGCUAGCAGAAAACAGGAAAUCACCCGCUGCAACAACCAGUACGCCUACCUCCACCAUCUACAGCACAAAAUAAAACAAAUCUAAAAGCCUACAUCCACAUCUACACAGCAAAACGGAAACCCUAGAACCCGCAACUACAAAAGCUCCUACACAACGCAGGCUAGCACAAAAGGGGGCGGGUGAAAUUGGGCGGAUUCACCAAGAACAACAAACAGAACAUCCACGAAGACGAGAACUCAGCUAGAUUUGGAACUACACGACCAGAGCACAAGCGGAAACACCUGGGGCCAGCGGGGGGAUUAGGGGAACCAACCUCGGCAGCCGGGGGCAAAGAGAAUAGGGAGGACAAAAUCAAAAUCGAACGGUGGAAUAGCUCGGAAUCGCCUCUCUCCUCCGCCUCUCUCCUUCGCCGCUCGAGCUCUCUCCCUCGGCCUUAUCGAAACAGAGCGACCCAAAUGAAAAGGGAGACGACACCCACUCGGAAAUUCAAGCAGGACAAAAACCAAUAGUACCGCGACGGGGCGGUUUCGGGUUGAGAU
This 1629-nucleotide long non-coding RNA is filed under the name Triticum aestivum (bread wheat). Its description in RNAcentral is "long non-coding RNA (TAES_LNC025753)". The record is from RNAcentral. Lineage: Eukaryota; Viridiplantae; Streptophyta; Magnoliopsida; Poales; Poaceae.